Molecule: ribosomal RNA, 253 nt
Filed under: uncultured bacterium
Lineage: Bacteria
Description: partial 16S ribosomal RNA
Rfam family: Bacterial small subunit ribosomal RNA
Source: RNAcentral
GACAGAGGUGCCGAGCGUUAGGCGGAAUCACUGGGCUUAAAGCGUGUGUAGGCGGCUCGUUAAGUACCUUGUGAAAUCCCACGGCUCAACCGUGGAACUGCUGGGUAUACUGGCGGUCUUGAGCCACCUAGGGGCGAGCGGAACAAGCGGUGGAGCGGUGAAAUGCGUAGAUAUCGCUUGGAACGCCGACGGUGAAAACAGUCUGCUGGGGGUUUGCUGACGCUGAGACACGAAAGCCAGGGGAGCGAACGGG